UGGGCUUUUAACCCAGAUUACGGUCAGGAUUGGCCCUCAGUUAAGCUGAGUGGCCGAGGUUGCAGGCAU
Molecule: transfer RNA, 69 nt
Filed under: Nipponacmea nigrans
Lineage: Eukaryota; Metazoa; Mollusca; Gastropoda; Lottiidae
Description: tRNA-Lys
Source: RNAcentral